GUUGACCUCGGAUCAGGUAGGAAUACCCGCUGAACUUAAGCAUAUCAAUAAGCGGAGGC
Molecule: ribosomal RNA, 59 nt
Filed under: Trichoderma atroviride
Lineage: Eukaryota; Fungi; Ascomycota; Sordariomycetes; Hypocreales; Hypocreaceae
Description: partial 28S ribosomal RNA
Rfam family: Eukaryotic large subunit ribosomal RNA
Source: RNAcentral